UAACACAUGCAAGUCGAGCGAUUCUCUUCGGAGAAGAGCGGCGGACGGGUGAGUAACGCGUGGGUAACCUGCCCUGUACACACGGAUAACAUACCGAAAGGUAUGCUAAUACGGGAUAAUAUAAGAAAUUCGCAUGUUUUUCUUAUCAAAGCUCCGGCGGUACAGGAUGGACCCGCGUCUGAUUAGCUAGUUGGUGAGGUAACGGCUCACCAAGGCGACGAUCAGUAGCCGACCUGAGAGGGUGAUCGGCCACAUUGGAACUGAGACACGGUCCAAACUCCUACGGGAGGCAGCAGUGGGGAAUAUUGCACAAUGGGCGAAAGCCUGAUGCAGCAACGCCGCGCGAGCGAUGAAGGCCUUCGGGUCGUAAAGCUCUGUCCUCAAGGAAGAUAAUGACGGUACUUGAGGAGGAAGCCCCGGCUAACUACGUGCCAGCAGCCGCGGUAAUACGUAGGGGGCUAGCGUCAUCCGGAUUUACUGGGCGUAAAGGGUGCGUAGGCGGUCUUUUAAGUCAGGAGUGAAAGGCUACGGCUCAACCGUAGUAAGCUCUUGAAACUGGAGGACUUGAGUGCAGGAGAGGAGAGUGGAAUUCCUAGUGUGGCGGUGAAAUGCGUAGAUAUUAGGAGGAACACCAGUAGCGAAGGCGGCUCUCUGGACUGUAACUGACGCUGAGGCACGAAGCGUGGGGAGCGAACA
RNAcentral lists this ribosomal RNA (696 nucleotides) under uncultured Clostridium sp. RNAcentral's name for it is "bacterial SSU rRNA". It matches the Rfam family "Bacterial small subunit ribosomal RNA", at positions 49 to 774 of the family's 1533-position model. The record is from RNAcentral. Lineage: Bacteria; Bacillati; Bacillota; Clostridia; Eubacteriales; Clostridiaceae.